This 152-nucleotide ribosomal RNA is filed under the name uncultured Rhizobiaceae bacterium. Its description in RNAcentral is "partial 16S ribosomal RNA". It matches the Rfam family "Bacterial small subunit ribosomal RNA", at positions 385 to 555 of the family's 1533-position model. The record is from RNAcentral. Lineage: Bacteria; Pseudomonadati; Pseudomonadota; Alphaproteobacteria; Hyphomicrobiales; Rhizobiaceae.
GAUCAGCCAUGCCGCGUGAGUGAUGAAGGCCUUAGGGUUGUAAAGCUCUUUCACCGAUGAAGAUAAUGACGGUAGUCGGAGAAGAAGCCCCGGCUAACUUCGUGCCAGCAGCCGCGGUAAUACGAAGGGGGCUAGCGUUGUUCGGAAUUACU